RNAcentral lists this ribosomal RNA (912 nucleotides) under Alcaligenes faecalis. Its description in RNAcentral is "bacterial SSU rRNA". It matches the Rfam family "Bacterial small subunit ribosomal RNA", at positions 33 to 937 of the family's 1533-position model. The record is from RNAcentral. RNAcentral also lists the same sequence under 1 other name. Lineage: Bacteria; Pseudomonadati; Pseudomonadota; Betaproteobacteria; Burkholderiales; Alcaligenaceae.
AGGGAAACGGGAGCUUUCCAUGCAGUCGAACGGCAGCACGAGAGAGCUUGCUCUCUUGGUGGCGAGUGGCGGACGGGUGAGUAAUAUAUCGGAACGUGCCCAGUAGCGGGGGAUAACUACUCGAAAGAGUGGCUAAUACCGCAUACGCCCUACGGGGGAAAGGGGGGGAUUCUUCGGAACCUCUCACUAUUGGAGCGGCCGAUAUCGGAUUAGCUAGUUGGUGGGGUAAAGGCUCACCAAGGCAACGAUCCGUAGCUGGUUUGAGAGGACGACCAGCCACACUGGGACUGAGACACGGCCCAGACUCCUACGGGAGGCAGCAGUGGGGAAUUUUGGACAAUGGGGGAAACCCUGAUCCAGCCAUCCCGCGUGUAUGAUGAAGGCCUUCGGGUUGUAAAGUACUUUUGGCAGAGAAGAAAAGGUAUCUCCUAAUACGAGAUACUGCUGACGGUAUCUGCAGAAUAAGCACCGGCUAACUACGUGCCAGCAGCCGCGGUAAUACGUAGGGUGCAAGCGUUAAUCGGAAUUACUGGGCGUAAAGCGUGUGUAGGCGGUUCGGAAAGAAAGAUGUGAAAUCCCAGGGCUCAACCUUGGAACUGCAUUUUUAACUGCCGAGCUAGAGUAUGUCAGAGGGGGGUAGAAUUCCACGUGUAGCAGUGAAAUGCGUAGAUAUGUGGAGGAAUACCGAUGGCGAAGGCAGCCCCCUGGGAUAAUACUGACGCUCAGACACGAAAGCGUGGGGAGCAAACAGGAUUAGAUACCCUGGUAGUCCACGCCCUAAACGAUGUCAACUAGCUGUUGGGGCCGUUAGGCCUUAGUAGCGCAGCUAACGCGUGAAGUUGACCGCCUGGCGAGUACGGUCGCAAGAUUAAAACUCCAAGGAAUUGACGGGGGCUCGCUCUAGAUACAUAA